GGCAUUUGAGACAAUCCUUGUGGGUGCCGUGGAGAGAUAGCCUGGAGAGGAGGAAGGAAGGAAGCUACAGUCUACAGCCAUCCCUCCUGGUCUCCACAAGUCCAGGGCACCUUCUGAAUGGGAGGAGACGACGUUCCUGGUGAAGCUGAGCUGAGGGCACGUUCAUCCCUUCACUGGCAUAGCUCCUCAGGAUUCCAGAGUAUACUGAAGACCAACUGAGGCACCCAGACUUGUGGACUGAACAACCAUUGGGACUUCUUGAUAGGCAGCUACUGUUGGACUAGCCGGACCACAGCCUGUAAGCCACUCGAAUAAAUUUCAUACAUAUAUGGAAUAUA
RNAcentral lists this long non-coding RNA (338 nucleotides) under Mus musculus (house mouse). Its description in RNAcentral is "predicted gene, 33155 (Gm33155)". The record is from RNAcentral. Lineage: Eukaryota; Metazoa; Chordata; Mammalia; Rodentia; Muridae.